This 460-nucleotide ribosomal RNA is filed under the name uncultured bacterium. RNAcentral's name for it is "partial 16S ribosomal RNA". It matches the Rfam family "Bacterial small subunit ribosomal RNA", at positions 338 to 795 of the family's 1533-position model. The record is from RNAcentral.
CCUACGGGGUGCAGCAGUGAGGAAUAUUGGUCAAUGGGCGAGAGCCUGAACCAGCCAAGUAGCGUGAAGGAUGACUGCCCUACGGGUUGUAAACUUCUUUUAUAGAGGAGUAAAGUGAGGUACGUGUGCCUUUUUGUAUGUACUUUAUGAUUAAAGAUAGGGUAACUCCGUGCCAGCAGCAGCGGUAAUACGGAGGAUCCGGGCGUUAUCCGGAUUUAUUGGGGUUAAAGGGAGCGUAGAUGGGGUGUUAAGUCAGGUGUGAAAAGUGGCGGCUCAACCGUAAAAUUGCAAUGGAUACUGGCAGGCUGGAGUACAGUGGAGGUAGGCGGAAUUCGUGGUGUAGCGGUGAAAUGCGUAGAUAUCACGAAGAACGCCAAUUGCGAAGGCAGCCUACUAAACUGCCACUGACAUUGAUGCUCGAAAGUGUGGGUAGCAAACAGGAUUAGAUACCCCGGUAGUC